Molecule: long non-coding RNA, 737 nt
Filed under: Ananas comosus (pineapple)
Lineage: Eukaryota; Viridiplantae; Streptophyta; Magnoliopsida; Poales; Bromeliaceae
Description: long non-coding RNA (ACOM_LNC022435)
Source: RNAcentral
GAAGGUGGCAGAGGAGGAAGGUGAUGAUUGCUAGUCAAGAAUGCUUCCGAAGCAUGUAAGCAAGCAUGACCAAUAGCAAUGAGGUGGUGGCGGUAGUGAGAACAAAAAAAUAAUCUAGUUUACAAAUGAUGUUACACUACUUAUUCAAAAGUUACAAUAUUCGAACAUAUAUGCAUUGUUUAGUAAGGGAGUUAACCUAUUUUGCAGUUUAAUAUAUGUAACAAAUAGUGCAACUUUCAUACUAAGUGCAAUAUAUGUUAGAAUAGUAUAGUUUUUUUAAUAAAUAGUAUACAAUAUUGCGUCGUAAGCCUUUUUUUUUUUCUUUUACUACUGCCGCUGCUUCAUCGCUGUCAGCCACCUUUGCAUACCCAUUCAUGCUUCAAGAGAAUUUUUGACCAAUCUCCGGCGAUGUUCCUAGCAGCGCUACCCUCGUCAUUACCGUGGCGAUCUGGCUGAAAAACGUUUGAGAACAGUAAUGAUCACAGCCAAGGCCACAGCUAGCAGCAAGUAAAGUUUCGUCAUAGUCAUUUUCGUCGUACACGGAAAGAAAAGAAGAAGUGUGAUGGCAUUAUCGAGACGACAGAGAAGUGAAAGUUGGAGGAGAAAGAUAGCAUAGAGAGAGAGAAUAGAAAUAUUUUAAUUAUUUAAAAAAUUUCAAGCUGAAUCCAUAAAAAAAUAAUAAUAAUAAAAAAUCCCUACUCAAAAGCAAAAUUGUAAAAUCAAUGAAUUUUUUUAUU